UUCUAUGGAAACAGAAGUUAUCAAGUGGGCGCAUGGAUGACAGGUUGGGCCACCCACGCAAACUGACCCUCAAGAUCAAGUAAAACAAGAGAGCUGCAACGUCAUACCACAUCCACUCUGAAAAAGAGAAGUGUGGAUAGAGAGAGAGAGAAAGAAGAAAGGGGGAGGUAAAAGUGCAAAGAGACCGAGAGAUUGUCAAAAAAAAAAAGAAAGAAGAAAAAAAACACCAAGGGAUGGCUGCACAGAAAAGCCUCAAAGUGGAAGUUGUGACUCUGGGAUAGUGAGACUCAGAGCUGCUGGUGCCGGCCUCCCCAGGGUGACAGAGAGGUCUGCAGAGAGUGAACCAAUCCAGCCAUCCAUGGCCAGAGAACAGGGAGGAUUAACAGAGCAAUGCAUCAUAGCUGUAGCAACCAGUGAUGUGUAGCAGACUGUAUUUAUUGACUCAUUGACUGUAUUGAUUGUCUCAAUUGAUGAAAGUCCAGAGACAACAGACAGACGCACAGUGGGUUAUGCAGAAUAAUAAAGAAAAGAUGAUGGAUCAUGUUGUUAUUUCAUUGCAUGAGUAAAAAGGAGCAUUUCACAGCAAAAACCCUGUUCAACAGAAGCAUCCGUCCCGGUUCGUCCUGCUGAUCACAAGUGUUUGGUAGUAAACCUCUGGUUACAGCACAUUUCACUGGCAGGCAUCAUCUCAUUCAAGUUAAGUACACACAGUAAUGGCUUGGUAAUUUACCUGGGCAUGUAUGUAGCUUUUUUUUCUUGACAGCAAAUUCUCUCUGACAUUGACAUUGUUCCAGCAGCAGCGGUUUAUUUAACACACCAUUAAUCUCUAACGACAGAAGACCGUGCUGUAGCAGAUGUUUGUUAACAAACUUCUGCUCAGUCUUUCCGGUGUUGUUCUUCACCCUUGUUGACAUGGAUUACUGUGACAAGAAGAGGGGUCACGAGGCAAACAUCCGAGGACCGCAAGAGUUAACUGAUAUUUUGGGUGCGUUUUGGCGACAGGAAAUUGUUUCUGUCAAGAUAAAGAACUAUUUGAUCCAUUUCUAACCCUUGAUAUUUGUAGUACAUGGAUCCAUUUGUCAAAUUAUGCCAAAACCACUGAUAGUGCGCCACAUCUGAGUGCAUGGUCAUCAGUAUGCUAAUGUUCAACAAUGCAGUGAAACAAUCCAAUUAUUGAAUGGUGGCCACUUUACAUCAGCUCUCUUAUUGAAUAUGUGUGCAAUUAAUGAGUGCAGAGCAACCAGAAUACUGGCACUGAGUAAAUGAACACUUUGGUAAACUUAGACUG
Larimichthys crocea (large yellow croaker) is the source of this 1288-nucleotide long non-coding RNA. RefSeq lists it as uncharacterized. The record is from RefSeq and is a predicted model, not a curated record. The transcript has 3 exons. Lineage: Eukaryota; Metazoa; Chordata; Actinopteri; Sciaenidae.